Molecule: long non-coding RNA, 319 nt
Filed under: Capsella rubella
Lineage: Eukaryota; Viridiplantae; Streptophyta; Magnoliopsida; Brassicales; Brassicaceae
Description: long non-coding RNA (CRUB_LNC001538)
Source: RNAcentral
GAAAGGUUACAAUAUAAUUUAGAGAAACAUUGCUAAGGUGUUGUAAGUUGUAACAAUCAGUUUUCUCUAUUCAUAAAAAUGAUGUUACUAGAUACAAUCAUACAAUGGAUGCCAAAGAGUAUUCCUCACACAUUUUUUUUUUUUGGGAUUUGUGUAUCAAUGACCAUCAGUGCAUGGCGUAUACAAUGAUUGUCAAUAAGAACGGUACUUUAUCAUUAAAAUGCUUGACAUGGAGGAAAAAACUUAUAGCUAUUCAAAAUUCUUCAGAGGCAUGUCAAGAUUUGUACAUUUGACUCAUUGGAAUAUAUAUAUUGCUUUC